UGUUGAGGGGCACACAUAUGAACGUGACCGUCAAUACCGGCAGCCGUCAAUAUCAUGUGCUCGCCCGAUAUGGCAUCAGUUGAAGGACCGGUAACAAGAUCGGGAGAAACACCUUUCAUUACAUUCGGGUUACCGGCUUUUCCGAUACCGGCAAUCUUACCAUCUUUAAUACCCACGUCAGCCUUCACCACUCCCAAGAUAGGAUCAAGGAUGGUAACGUUUGUUAUCACAAGGUCAAGACUUCCCGCUCCUGAGGAACACUCGUUAGCGAGCCCCAUUCCAUCGCG
Molecule: small RNA, 287 nt
Filed under: human gut metagenome
Description: 5' ureB small RNA
Source: RNAcentral